CUACUUCAUUUGGGGAGAUACCAUGAUCACGAAGGUGGUUUUCCCAGGGUGAGGCUUAUCCAUUGCACUCCGGAUGUGCUGACCCCUGCGAUUUCCCCAAAUGUAGGAAACUCAACUGCAUAAUUUGUGGUAGUGGGGGACUGCGUUCGCGCUUUCCCCUG
This is a small nuclear RNA of Capra hircus (goat), 161 nucleotides long. Its record names the gene U1. It matches the Rfam family "U1 spliceosomal RNA". Rfam says of the family: U1 is a small nuclear RNA (snRNA) component of the spliceosome (involved in pre-mRNA splicing). Its 5' end forms complementary base pairs with the 5' splice junction, thus defining the 5' donor site of an intron. Lineage: Eukaryota; Metazoa; Chordata; Mammalia; Artiodactyla; Bovidae. The record is from Ensembl.